Molecule: ribosomal RNA, 506 nt
Filed under: uncultured bacterium
Lineage: Bacteria
Description: partial 16S ribosomal RNA
Rfam family: Bacterial small subunit ribosomal RNA
Source: RNAcentral
AGUGAACGCUGGCGGUAGGCCUAACACAUGCAAGUCGAACGGCAGCACAGGAGAGCUUGCUCUCUGGGUGGCGAGUGGCGGACGGGUGAGGAAUACAUCGGAAUCUACUCUGUCGUGGGGGAUAACGUAGGGAAACUUACGCUAAUACCGCAUACGACCUACGGGUGAAAGCAGGGGACCUUCGGGCCUUGCGCGAUGGAAUGCGCCGAUGUCGGAUUAGCUAGUUGGCGGGGUAAAGGCCCACCAAGGCGACGAUCCGUAGCUGGUCUGAGAGGAUGAUCAGCCACACUGGAACUGAGACACGGUCCAGACUCCUACGGGAGGCAGCAGUGGGGAAUAUUGGACAAUGGGCGCAAGCCUGAUCCAGCCAUACCGCGUGGGUGAAGAAGGCCUCCGGGUUGUAAAGCCCUUUUGUUGGGAAAGAAAUCCAGCUGGCUAAUACCCGGUUGGGAUGACGGUACCCAAAGAAUAAGCACCGGCUAACUUCGUGCCAGCCGCCGCAGUAA